RNAcentral lists this transfer RNA (74 nucleotides) under Rubrobacter radiotolerans. Its description in RNAcentral is "tRNA-Met (CAT) (tRNA-Met-CAT-1-1)". It matches the Rfam family "tRNA". From Rfam's summary of the family: Transfer RNA (tRNA) molecules are approximately 80 nucleotides in length. The record is from Rfam by way of RNAcentral. RNAcentral also lists the same sequence under 2 other names. Lineage: Bacteria; Bacillati; Actinomycetota; Rubrobacteria; Rubrobacterales; Rubrobacteraceae.
GGCGGUGUAGCUCAGUUGGUUAGAGCAGCGGAAUCAUAAUCCGCGUGUCACAGGUUCGAGUCCUGUCACCGCUA